GAUGAACGCUGGCGGCGUGCCUAAUACAUGCAAGUCGAGCGAACAGACGAGGAGCUUGCUCCUCUGACGUUAGCGGCGGACGGGUGAGUAACACGUGGAUAACCUACCUAUAAGACUGGGAUAACUUCGGGAAACCGGAGCUAAUACCGGAUAAUAUAUUGAACCGCAUGGUUCAAUAGUGAACGACGGUUUUGCUGUCACUUAUAGAUGGAUCCACGCCGGAUUAGCUAGUUGGUAAGGUAACGGCAUACCAAGGCGAAGAUGCGUAGCCGACCUGAGAGGAGGAUCAGUAACACUGGAACUGAGCAACGGUCCAGACUCCUACGGGAGGCAGCAGUGGGGAAUAGUGGACAAGGGGCGGAAGCCUGACACAGCAAUGCCGCGGGUGAGAAGAAGGUCUUCGGAUUGUAAAGCACUUUAAGUGGGGAGGAAGGGCAGUAAGCUAAUACCUUGCGGUUUUGACGUUACCAAAAGAAUAAGCACCGGCUAACUUCGUG
Molecule: ribosomal RNA, 497 nt
Filed under: uncultured bacterium
Lineage: Bacteria
Description: partial 16S ribosomal RNA
Rfam family: Bacterial small subunit ribosomal RNA
Source: RNAcentral